This 406-nucleotide ribosomal RNA is filed under the name uncultured bacterium. Its description in RNAcentral is "partial 16S ribosomal RNA". It matches the Rfam family "Bacterial small subunit ribosomal RNA", at positions 30 to 526 of the family's 1533-position model. The record is from RNAcentral.
AUUGAACGCUGGCGGCAGGCCUAACACAUGCAAGUCGAACGAGUGGCGGACGGGUGAGUAUUGUCUGGGAAACUGCCUGAUGGAGGGGGAUAACUACUGGAAACGGUAGCUAAUACCGCAUACCAUCAGAUGUGCCCAGAUGGGCGUUGCUAGUUGGUGGAGUAACGGCUCACCAGGGCGACGAUGCCUAGCUGGUCUGAGAGGAUGACCAGCCACACUGAAACUGAGACACGGUCCAGACUCCUACGGGAGGCAGUAGUGGGGAAUAUUGCACAAUGGGCGGAAGCCUGAUGCAGCCAUGCCGAGUGUAUGAAGAAGGCCUUCGGGUUGUAAAGUACUUUCAGCGGGGAGGCGUUACCCGCAGAAGAAGCACCGGCUAACUCCGUGCCAGCAGCCGCGGUAAUAC